GCAUCCGUAGCUCAGUAGGAUAGAGCACUCGGCUACGAACCGAGAGGUCGAAGGUUCAAAUCCUUUCGGAUGCA
RNAcentral lists this transfer RNA (74 nucleotides) under Buchnera aphidicola (Nipponaphis monzeni). It matches the Rfam family "tRNA". Rfam says of the family: Transfer RNA (tRNA) molecules are approximately 80 nucleotides in length. Their secondary structure includes four short double-helical elements and three loops (D, anti-codon, and T loops). The record is from Rfam by way of RNAcentral. Lineage: Bacteria; Pseudomonadati; Pseudomonadota; Gammaproteobacteria; Enterobacterales; Erwiniaceae.